Molecule: non-coding RNA, 207 nt
Organism: Oryza brachyantha (malo sina)
Lineage: Eukaryota; Viridiplantae; Streptophyta; Magnoliopsida; Poales; Poaceae
Source: Rfam
AAUAACUUUAUUUUUCGUUUUUCCGUAUCCGACGUUUAACCAUUCGUCUUAUUUGAAAAUUUUAUAAAAAACUUAAAAAAAUUAGUUACAUAUAAAGUAUUAUUCAUAUUUUAUCAUCUCGUAACAAUAAAAAUAUUAAUCAUAAAAAAUUUUAAAUAAGACGAAUAGUUAAACGUUUGACAUGAAAAAACGAAAAGUGAGGUUAUU